AGCAAAUCUCUUGAGUCAUUGAUGUACAAAUCCUGUUCUCAUUUGGGCUAGGAUUGGAAGGCAGGGAGUACCUGCUUUUAAAGAAGUUGGACUUACACGAUGGAGAGAAGUAGGAAGAAUUAUAAGUGAAAAACAUGUGGUAUGGAAAUUCUCUUAGCUUACAGAGGAACAGGAGAAAGAUAUCUUCUCAGAAAGAAUAUUUUCUCAAAAGGAAGUAAACCAGUGACAUGGCAGAGAGGCCCAAGGAGAAGAAAUCUUCAGCCAUGAUGUGCUCAAAUGCCAUGCACCUUGAGGUAAAAAGCAUCUGAUCUUGCUAUAGAAAUUACAGUAUGAAAGACAGUCAACAAAAUUGCAGUGAGACCGUACAGCAGAAAAAGUGUCAGAGCAAGACAGAUUGGAACACCUUGAAAAACCACAUCUCUGAUUCUUUUCAGGUGUGUUGAUACAAUAAUUGGAUGAGUUUCUUCUACAAAGCUGUAAAAUCUGACUUUGUAAACUUAUCAGGAGAUGAUGAUGUUUCCAUGUAAAAAAAUGAACAAGAAAUAGAAUGAAAGCUGAAUUCCUAUUCAGUUUUUCAACUAUUGAAGAGCUGCAAAAAUAUCCUAAACACCCCAUCAUUUAAACAUAACCCUAUAUUUCACUUUCUCAAAUAAACAGCUUCAACAUUUCCA
Molecule: long non-coding RNA, 671 nt
Filed under: Zonotrichia albicollis (white-throated sparrow)
Lineage: Eukaryota; Metazoa; Chordata; Aves; Passeriformes; Passerellidae
Description: lncRNA (ENSZALG00000013847.1)
Source: RNAcentral